This 253-nucleotide ribosomal RNA is filed under the name uncultured bacterium. RNAcentral's name for it is "partial 16S ribosomal RNA". It matches the Rfam family "Bacterial small subunit ribosomal RNA", at positions 524 to 776 of the family's 1533-position model. The record is from RNAcentral.
UACGUAGGGUGCGAGCGUUGUCCGGAAUUAUUGGGCGUAAAGAGCUCGUAGGCGGUUUGUUGCGUCGGCUGUGAAAACCUGCGGCUUAACUGUGGGCUUGCAGUCGAUACGGGCAGACUUGAGUUCGGCAGGGGAGACUGGAAUUCCUGGUGUAGCGGUGAAAUGCGCAGAUAUCAGGAGGAACACCGGUGGCGAAGGCGGUUCUCUGGGCCUGUACUGACGCUGAGGAACGAAAGCGUGGGGAGCGAACAGG